Molecule: microRNA, 23 nt
Filed under: Zea mays
Lineage: Eukaryota; Viridiplantae; Streptophyta; Magnoliopsida; Poales; Poaceae
Description: zma-miR156j-3p
Gene: zma-miR156j-3p
Source: miRBase by way of RNAcentral
UGCUCUCUGCUCUCACUGUCAUC